Molecule: ribosomal RNA, 432 nt
Filed under: uncultured bacterium
Lineage: Bacteria
Description: partial 16S ribosomal RNA
Rfam family: Bacterial small subunit ribosomal RNA
Source: RNAcentral
ACGAACGCUGGCGGCAUGCCUAACACAUGCAAGUCGAACGAGACCUUCGGGUCUAGUGGCGCACGGGUGCGUAACGCGUGGGAACCUGCCCUUAGGUUCGGAAUAACUCCCCGAAAGGGGUGCUAAUACCGGAUAAUGUCUUCGGACCAAAGAUUUAUCGCCUUUGGAUGGGCCCGCGUUGGAUUAGCUAGUUGGUAGGGUAAAAGCCUACCAAGGCGACGAUCCAUAGCUGGUCUGAGAGGAUGAUCAGCCACACUGGGACUGAGACACGGCCCAGACUCCUACGGGAGGCAGCAGUGGGGAAUAUUGGUCAAUGGGCGAAAGCCUGAUCCAGCAAUGCCGCGUGAGUGAUGAAGGCCUUAGGGUUGUAAAGCUCUUUUACCCGGGAUGAUAAUGACAGUACCGGGAGAAUAAGCUCCGGCUAACUCCGUG